GUAGUCCACGCCGUAAACGAUGAUCACUAGAUGUGGGACGUGCAUAGCAUGUUCUGUGUCGUAGCUAACGCGUUAAGUGAUCCGCCUGGGAAUUACGGUCGCAAGAUUAAAACUCAAAGGAAUUGACGGGGGUCCGCACAAGCGGUGGAACAUGUGGUUUAAUUCGACACUACGCGAGAAACCUUACCUGGGCUUGACAUCUAACUGCAACCGAUAGAAAUAUUGGGUUCCGUAGCAAUACGGACGGUUAGACAGGUGCUGCAUGGCUGUCGUCAGCUCGUGUCGUGAGACGUCGGGUUAAGUCCUUGAACGAGCGCAACCCUUGCCGUUAGUUGCCUGUCGUAAGGCGGCACUCUAGCGGGACUGCCGUGGAAACACGGA
Molecule: ribosomal RNA, 381 nt
Filed under: uncultured bacterium
Lineage: Bacteria
Description: bacterial SSU rRNA
Rfam family: Bacterial small subunit ribosomal RNA
Source: RNAcentral